GACGAACGCUGGCGGCGUGCUUAACACAUGCAAGUCGAACGGAAAGGCCCUGCUUUUGUGGGGUGCUCGAGUGGCGAACGGGUGAGUAACACGUGAGUAACCUGCCCUUGACUUUGGGAUAACUUCAGGAAACUGGGGCUAAUACCGGAUAGGAGCUCCUGCUGCAUGGUGGGGGUUGGAAAGUUUCGGCGGUUGGGGAUGGACUCGCGGCUUAUCAGCUUGUUGGUGGGGUAGUGGCUUACCAAGGCUUUGACGGGUAGCCGGCCUGAGAGGGUGACCGGCCACAUUGGGACUGGGAUACGGCCCAGACCCCUACGGGAGGCAGGAGGGGGGAAUAUUGCAAAAUGGGCGGAAGCCUGAUGCAGCACCGCCGGGUGCGGGAUGACGGCCUUCGGGUGGAAAACCGCUUUCGCCUGGGACGAAGCGUGAGGGAGGGUAAUGGGAAAAGAAGCACCGGCUAAUUACGU
This 467-nucleotide ribosomal RNA is filed under the name uncultured bacterium. RNAcentral's name for it is "partial 16S ribosomal RNA". It matches the Rfam family "Bacterial small subunit ribosomal RNA", at positions 28 to 506 of the family's 1533-position model. The record is from RNAcentral.